Molecule: ribosomal RNA, 447 nt
Filed under: uncultured bacterium
Lineage: Bacteria
Description: bacterial SSU rRNA
Rfam family: Bacterial small subunit ribosomal RNA
Source: RNAcentral
UCGGGAAUUUUGCGCAAUGGGCGAAAGCCUGACGCAGCCAUGCCGCGUGAAUGAUGAAGGUCUUAGGAUUGUAAAAUUCUUUCACCGGGGACGAUAAUGACGGUACCCGGAGAAGAAGCCCCGGCUAACUUCGUGCCAGCAGCCGCGGUAAUACGAAGGGGGCUAGCGUUGCUCGGAAUUACUGGGCGUAAAGGGCGCGUAGGCGGACAUUUAAGUCAGGGGUGAAAUCCCAGAGCUCAACUCUGGAACUGCCUUUGAUACUGGGUGUCUUGAGUGUGAGAGAGGUAUGUGGAACUCCGAGUGUAGAGGUGAAAUUCGUAGAUAUUCGGAAGAACACCAGUGGCGAAGGCGACAUACUGGCUCAUUACUGACGCUGAGGCGCGAAAGCGUGGGGAGCAAACAGGAUUAGAUACCCGGGUAGUCCCUGAGCGGGCUGGCAAGGCGCAU